RNAcentral lists this transfer RNA (64 nucleotides) under Cerambycidae sp. 8 KM-2017. RNAcentral's name for it is "tRNA-His". The record is from RNAcentral. Lineage: Eukaryota; Metazoa; Arthropoda; Insecta; Coleoptera; Cerambycidae.
ACUUAAAUAGUUUAAAAAAAAUUUUGAUUUGUGGAGUCAAAGAUAUAAAUUGUUAUUUUAGGUA